Molecule: long non-coding RNA, 537 nt
Organism: Caretta caretta (loggerhead turtle)
Lineage: Eukaryota; Metazoa; Chordata; Testudines; Cheloniidae
Source: RefSeq, a predicted model, not a curated record
GAACUAAUCAUUAACUGCAGAGGCAAAGCGAGGUCUGUUCCCUCCUCCUGAGAUCCCAGGCAGCAGCCAAGGGAGAGACUGACAUUAACCAUUGCACUACAGCAGAACACCCUUGCACAUAGCAGCCGCACCUGGGAACGUGGACAUAGUGAAAUUUCUCCUGCCUCAGAAUGCUGACAUGGAUAUCCAGGAUCACCUUCAAUACACCUCACUCCAGGAGGCUACUAAGUUCAAAUGCCUGAUAGCACAGCUGCAGCAUCAGCGGGGCUGCGCUAUUAUGUUGCUGGGAGGAUCAGAAGAAGUGGCCAAGUAUCUAGAACCAUCAGCUGAGACAGUCGAUGCAAGUCAGAGAAAAUGAGGUGCUCAUUUUUUCCAGCCUUAAUUCCACAAAAACACUUAAAAAUCAUUGCAUCCCUCUGGGUUUAUUGAUAUCUUAAACUAUCCUGAUCUUUUUCAGAGAAUGUUAGUUCUCCAAAUUUACAAGUUUUGCUUUCACUGUUUAGGCAUGUAUAUUGCUCACUGUAUGUAUAAUAAAUA